GGUACAAACAGAGCGGAUGGUUGCAUGAUGGCCUCUUUCAGGUUUGUCAACUGAAUGUCUACUAGUGUGGCUCAGCAAGUUCCUGUCAUGAUCAGCCCUCUCAAGAAAGUCCUAGAAUGAACCAAAUCAUCAGGGCAUCAUUUCUGGAAUUUGGGCAGAAAAUGACUGAAUAUGAAAGACUGCAGUAGAAGGAAAGCUGGUACUGAGAACAUUUGUCUUCACUCCAGACUAAAGAGAAGCGGGUCUGAGGCCAGAGAUGGAGGAGUCAAUGGUCACCAAAUGCAGCGCUGCAGCCUGAAACUGUGAAGACUGAAUUCCCAAACAGCUGUGUGACUGCACAGAUGUUACGGCCAUAAAAGAAACUUCACAACUGAGAGCCCAUACCUCCAACAACCUUCACAGGAAUCAAUGGACAUCUACGCAAGGUUUUUCUUUUGUUGAGGACCGUCAGAGACUCCAGCCACACGAGCCAUGGAUUGCUCUCAACAUCACCAUCAGACAGACAUUAUCACAGAACCAGCACCAGCAGACUGCAAAACAAGUUCCUUCAACAGGCAAUCAGACUGAACUGAACUCGUACCAGUAACACCACACACACACACACACACACACACACACACACACACACAUACACACACCAGCAGCCUCAUACUGUGUGCACUGCACUCUAUCAGCUACACUGACUGGACUCUGACUCCACUAUUAUUCUGCAACCUGAUAUUCUGUUUGCACUAAUUCAUACUGUACUGAAAGUGAAAGUGACGUGACAUACAGUCAAGUAUGGUGACCCAUACUCAGAAUUUGUGCUCUGCAUUUAACCCAUCCGAAGUGCACACACACAGAGCAGUGAACACACACACACUGUGAACACACACCCGGAGCAGUGGGCAGAGGUAUAUCUACAGUAUACAGUGAUUGUUGUUAAUUGUUUUCAUUUUGUUCUCUCUGUAUAGUAUAGUAUUGCACUAUAUUUUCUACCUGUAUUGAGCUCUUAUGUAUACGGUUUAUAUUUUUGAUACUGUAUAUGUGUUGCAAAUAUAUUCAGUACUUGUCAUGCUGCAGUUUGCAGAAAAGCAUUUUACCACCUGUAUACUUGCAUUCAUGGUAUUGUGAUAAUAAAAUGAUUUGA
Molecule: long non-coding RNA, 1129 nt
Organism: Carassius auratus (goldfish)
Lineage: Eukaryota; Metazoa; Chordata; Actinopteri; Cypriniformes; Cyprinidae
Exons: 4
Source: RefSeq, a predicted model, not a curated record